CAGUAGCCACGGGAAUACGGAGGGGGCUAGCGUUGUUCGGAAUUACUGGGCGUAAAGCGCACGUAGGCGGCUUGGUAAGUUAGAGGUGAAAGCCUGGAGCUCAACUCCAGAAUUGCCUUUAAGACUGCCGAGCUAGCAGGUGAGAGAGGUAAGUGGAAUUCCGAGUGUAGAGGUGAAAUUCGUAGAUAUUCGGAAGAACACCAGUGGCGAAGGCGGCUUACUGGCUCAUACUGGACGCUGAGGUGCGAAAGCGUGGGGAGCAAACAGGAUUAGAUACCCCGGUAGUCCCUGUCUCUUAUAC
Molecule: ribosomal RNA, 301 nt
Filed under: uncultured bacterium
Lineage: Bacteria
Description: partial 16S ribosomal RNA
Rfam family: Bacterial small subunit ribosomal RNA
Source: RNAcentral